This is a long non-coding RNA of Juglans regia (Persian walnut), 381 nucleotides long. RefSeq lists it as uncharacterized. The record is from RefSeq and is a predicted model, not a curated record. Lineage: Eukaryota; Viridiplantae; Streptophyta; Magnoliopsida; Fagales; Juglandaceae. The transcript is spliced from 3 exons.
UCUCCCACGUCUCUCUAUUUUCUUUUCGGUUUCUUUUUAUUUUUUCUUGUUGUUGGCGUUAUUUUGUGGCUUCCGAAUCUCAUACCCAUAGCUCCCCAUUUCUGUUUUCACUUAAAAUCAAUUCCUCCAUUGCAGCAGUUCACACAGUUCUCCCUCGCGUUCCUCCAGUCUGCGGUUGGUUCUCUUCCUCUACAAACUCGGCUCUUCUCUUCCUCUUCUUCAGGUUUUCAUCUUCAGUUUUUGUUUUGGCCGUGAGGUUUGAGUUUACGUUUUGUGGGUUUCUGAGUUUGUCAUUCGUGUGAUCGUUGAAGCCUUUGUUGAAGAUUUUACUUGCCGUAGGUGACAAGACGGAUAGAGACCGUAUUCAAGUCAUAGAUAAUA